GAUUAAGUUAUUAAGGGCGCACGGUGGAUGCCUUGGCACUAGAAGCCGAUGAAGGACGUUACUAACGACGAUAUGCUUUGGGGAGCUGUAAGUAAGCUUUGAUCCAGAGAUUUCCGAAUGGGGAAACCCAGCAUGAGUUAUGUCAUGUUAUCGAUAUGUGAAUACAUAGCAUAUCAGAAGGCACACCCGGAGAACUGAAACAUCUUAGUACCCGGAGGAAGAGAAAGAAAAUUCGAUUCCCUUAGUAGCGGCGAGCGAAACGGGAAGAGCCCAAACCAACAAGCUUGCUUGUUGGGGUUGUAGGACACUCUAUACGGAGUUACAAAAGACGACAUUAGACGAAUCAUCUGGAAAGAUGAAUCAAAGAAGGUAAUAAUCCUGUAGUCGAAAAUGUUGUCUCUCUUGAGUGGAUCCUGAGUACGACGGAGCACGUGAAAUUCCGUCGGAAUCUGGGAGGACCAUCUCCUAAGGCUAAAUACUCUCUAGUGACCGAUAGUGAACCAGUACCGUGAGGGAAAGGUGAAAAGCACCCCGGAAGGGGAGUGAAAUAGAACCUGAAACCGUGUGCUUACAAGUAGUCAGAGCCCGUUAAUGGGUGAUGGCGUGCCUUUUGUAGAAUGAACCGGCGAGUUACGAUUUGAUGCAAGGUUAAGCAGUAAAUGUGGAGCCGUAGCGAAAGCGAGUCUGAAUAGGGCGUUUAGUAUUUGGUCGUAGACCCGAAACCAGGUGAUCUACCCUUGGUCAGGUUGAAGUUCAGGUAACACUGAAUGGAGGACCGAACCGACUUACGUUGAAAAGUGAGCGGAUGAACUGAGGGUAGCGGAGAAAUUCCAAUCGAACCUGGAGAUAGCUGGUUCUCUCCGAAAUAGCUUUAGGGCUAGCCUCAAGUGAUGAUUAUUGGAGGUAGAGCACUGUUUGGACGAGGGGCCCCUCUCGGGUUACCGAAUUCAGACAAACUCCGAAUGCCAAUUAAUUUAACUUGGGAGUCAGAACAUGGGUGAUAAGGUCCGUGUUCGAAAGGGAAACAGCCCAGACCACCAGCUAAGGUCCCAAAAUAUAUGUUAAGUGGAAAAGGAUGUGGCGUUGCCCAGACAACUAGGAUGUUGGCUUAGAAGCAGCCAUCAUUUAAAGAGUGCGUAAUAGCUCACUAGUCGAGUGACACUGCGCCGAAAAUGUACCGGGGCUAAACAUAUUACCGAAUCUGUGGAUUGUCCUUUGGACAAUGGUAGGAGAGCGUUCUAAGGGCGUUGAAGCAUGAUCGUAAGGACAUGUGGAGCGCUUAGAAGUGAGAAUGCCGGUGUGAGUAGCGAAAGACGGGUGAGAAUCCCGUCCACCGAUUGACUAAGGUUUCCAGAGGAAGGCUCGUCCGCUCUGGGUUAGUCGGGUCCUAAGCUGAGGCCGACAGGCGUAGGCGAUGGAUAACAGGUUGAUAUUCCUGUACCACCUAUAAUCGUUUUAAUCGAUGGGGGGACGCAGUAGGAUAGGCGAAGCGUGCGAUUGGAUUGCACGUCUAAGCAGUAAGGCUGAGUAUUAGGCAAAUCCGGUACUCAUUAAGGCUGAGCUGUGAUGGGGAGAAGACAUUGUGUCUUCGAGUCGUUGAUUUCACACUGCCGAGAAAAGCCUCUAGAUAGAAAAUAGGUGCCCGUACCGCAAACCGACACAGGUAGUCAAGAUGAGAAUUCUAAGGUGAGCGAGCGAACUCUCGUUAAGGAACUCGGCAAAAUGACCCCGUAACUUCGGGAGAAGGGGUGCUCUUUAGGGUUAACGCCCAGAAGAGCCGCAGUGAAUAGGCCCAAGCGACUGUUUAUCAAAAACACAGGUCUCUGCUAAACCGUAAGGUGAUGUAUAGGGGCUGACGCCUGCCCGGUGCUGGAAGGUUAAGAGGAGUGGUUAGCUUCUGCGAAGCUACGAAUCGAAGCCCCAGUAAACGGCGGCCGUAACUAUAACGGUCCUAAGGUAGCGAAAUUCCUUGUCGGGUAAGUUCCGACCCGCACGAAAGGCGUAACGAUUUGGGCACUGUCUCAACGAGAGACUCGGUGAAAUCAUAGUACCUGUGAAGAUGCAGGUUACCCGCGACAGGACGGAAAGACCCCGUGGAGCUUUACUGUAGCCUGAUAUUGAAAUUCGGCACAGCUUGUACAGGAUAGGUAGGAGCCUUUGAAACGUGAGCGCUAGCUUACGUGGAGGCGCUGGUGGGAUACUACCCUAGCUGUGUUGGCUUUCUAACCCGCACCACUUAUCGUGGUGGGAGACAGUGUCAGGCGGGCAGUUUGACUGGGGCGGUCGCCUCCUAAAAGGUAACGGAGGCGCUCAAAGGUUCCCUCAGAAUGGUUGGAAAUCAUUCAUAGAGUGUAAAGGCAUAAGGGAGCUUGACUGCGAGACCUACAAGUCGAGCAGGGUCGAAAGACGGACUUAGUGAUCCGGUGGUUCCGCAUGGAAGGGCCAUCGCUCAACGGAUAAAAGCUACCCCGGGGAUAACAGGCUUAUCUCCCCCAAGAGUUCACAUCGACGGGGAGGUUUGGCACCUCGAUGUCGGCUCAUCGCAUCCUGGGGCUGUAGUCGGUCCCAAGGGUUGGGCUGUUCGCCCAUUAAAGCGGUACGCGAGCUGGGUUCAGAACGUCGUGAGACAGUUCGGUCCCUAUCCGUCGUGGGCGUAGGAAAUUUGAGAGGAGCUGUCCUUAGUACGAGAGGACCGGGAUGGACAUACCUCUGGUGUACCAGUUGUCGUGCCAACGGCAUAGCUGGGUAGCUAUGUGUGGACGGGAUAAGUGCUGAAAGCAUCUAAGCAUGAAGCCCCCCUCAAGAUGAGAUUUCCCAACUUCGGUUAUAAGAUCCCUCAAAGAUGAUGAGGUUAAUAGGUUCGAGGUGGAAGCAUGGUGACAUGUGGAGCUGACGAAUACUAAUCGAUCGAAGACUUAAUCAA
This 2923-nucleotide ribosomal RNA is filed under the name Staphylococcus aureus. RNAcentral describes it as "23S ribosomal RNA". It matches the Rfam family "Bacterial large subunit ribosomal RNA". The record is from RNAcentral. Lineage: Bacteria; Bacillati; Bacillota; Bacilli; Caryophanales; Staphylococcaceae.